CGAUGGACCUGUUUAUCCACUGCUCACGUUGGCUGUGGAUGAGAGAACUGAUGCUUUAGCAGAACGGAUGAGUUGCCGUGUCCUACUUCCUCGUUCCUAGUGGUCUGGCAUUUACAAAAUGAAAUGGAAGGAUUGAUACACGCAUGUCCAUCAGAGAGUCAUCACCAAACUGAAACAGUUGAGGUUGAAGUAAAAGAUCAAAAGUAGAACUCUCACCCACUUCUCUAGCCCCAUGUCCAUCCACCUGAAUGGCUCCAUGCUUUUUCCACAAUGGACUAGACCUCUGAACUAUCAAAAACCUCUCAGAAAAGAGAACUGCUUGAAGUGACUCUUGUGCUCGGCAAAGUUGCAGUGGAGCGUGGAAGGUUCUGGAACUGAAACUUUCAUUUAUUUUAUUAUCCAAGCUGUGAAUUUCAAAAAUAACAAGUCAUUAUGAAAGUGAAACAUAAGAUGCUUAACUCCCACUGUUUUAAUCAUUUAAAAACCUCCUAGAAAUGAAAACAACUCCAACAGCU
This 515-nucleotide long non-coding RNA is filed under the name Mus pahari (shrew mouse). RNAcentral's name for it is "predicted gene 14223 (MGP_PahariEiJ_G0005582.1)". The record is from RNAcentral. Lineage: Eukaryota; Metazoa; Chordata; Mammalia; Rodentia; Muridae.